Molecule: ribosomal RNA, 2900 nt
Filed under: Escherichia coli
Lineage: Bacteria; Pseudomonadati; Pseudomonadota; Gammaproteobacteria; Enterobacterales; Enterobacteriaceae
Also listed under: 1 other name
Description: bacterial LSU rRNA
Rfam family: Bacterial large subunit ribosomal RNA
Source: RNAcentral
UUAAGCGACUAAGCGUACACGGUGGAUGCCCUGGCAGUCAGAGGCGAUGAAGGACGUGCUAAUCUGCGAUAAGCGUCGGUAAGGUGAUAUGAACCGUUAUAACCGGCGAUUUCCGAAUGGGGAAACCCAGUGUGUUUCGACACACUAUCAUUAACUGAAUCCAUAGGUUAAUGAGGCGAACCGGGGGAACUGAAACAUCUAAGUACCCCGAGGAAAAGAAAUCAACCGAGAUUCCCCCAGUAGCGGCGAGCGAACGGGGAGGAGCCCAGAGCCUGAAUCAGUGUGUGUGUUAGUGGAAGCGUCUGGAAAGGCGCGCGAUACAGGGUGAUAGCCCCGUACACAAAAAUGCACAUACUGUGAGCUCGAUGAGUAGGGCGGGACACGUGGUAUCCUGUCUGAAUAUGGGGGGACCAUCCUCCAAGGCUAAAUACUCCUGACUGACCGAUAGUGAACCAGUACCGUGAGGGAAAGGCGAAAAGAACCCCGGCGAGGGGAGUGAAAAAGAACCUGAAACCGUGUACGUACAAGCAGUGGGAGCCUCUUUAUGGGGUGACUGCGUACCUUUUGUAUAAUGGGUCAGCGACUUAUAUUCUGUAGCAAGGUUAACCGAAUAGGGGAGCCGAAGGGAAACCGAGUCUUAACUGGGCGUUAAGUUGCAGGGUAUAGACCCGAAACCCGGUGAUCUAGCCAUGGGCAGGUUGAAGGUUGGGUAACACUAACUGGAGGACCGAACCGACUAAUGUUGAAAAAUUAGCGGAUGACUUGUGGCUGGGGGUGAAAGGCCAAUCAAACCGGGAGAUAGCUGGUUCUCCCCGAAAGCUAUUUAGGUAGCGCCUCGUGAAUUCAUCUCCGGGGGUAGAGCACUGUUUCGGCAAGGGGGUCAUCCCGACUUACCAACCCGAUGCAAACUGCGAAUACCGGAGAAUGUUAUCACGGGAGACACACGGCGGGUGCUAACGUCCGUCGUGAAGAGGGAAACAACCCAGACCGCCAGCUAAGGUCCCAAAGUCAUGGUUAAGUGGGAAACGAUGUGGGAAGGCCCAGACAGCCAGGAUGUUGGCUUAGAAGCAGCCAUCAUUUAAAGAAAGCGUAAUAGCUCACUGGUCGAGUCGGCCUGCGCGGAAGAUGUAACGGGGCUAAACCAUGCACCGAAGCUGCGGCAGCGACACUGUGUGUUGUUGGGUAGGGGAGCGUUCUGUAAGCCUGUGAAGGUGUACUGUGAGGUAUGCUGGAGGUAUCAGAAGUGCGAAUGCUGACAUAAGUAACGAUAAAGCGGGUGAAAAGCCCGCUCGCCGGAAGACUAAGGGUUCCUGUCCAACGUUAAUCGGGGCAGGGUGAGUCGACCCCUAAGGCGAGGCCGAAAGGCGUAGUCGAUGGGAAACAGGUUAAUAUUCCUGUACUUGGUGUUACUGCGAAGGGGGGACGGAGAAGGCUAUGUUGGCCGGGCGACGGUUGUCCCGGUUUAAGCGUGUAGGCUGGUUUUCCAGGCAAAUCCGGAAAAUCAAGGCUGAGGCGUGAUGACGAGGCACUACGGUGCUGAAGCAACAAAUGCCCUGCUUCCAGGAAAAGCCUCUAAGCAUCAGGUAACAUCAAAUCGUACCCCAAACCGACACAGGUGGUCAGGUAGAGAAUACCAAGGCGCUUGAGAGAACUCGGGUGAAGGAACUAGGCAAAAUGGUGCCGUAACUUCGGGAGAAGGCACGCUGAUAUGUAGGUGAAGCGACUUGCUCGUGGAGCUGAAAUCAGUCGAAGAUACCAGCUGGCUGCAACUGUUUAUUAAAAACACAGCACUGUGCAAACACGAAAGUGGACGUAUACGGUGUGACGCCUGCCCGGUGCCGGAAGGUUAAUUGAUGGGGUCAGCGCAAGCGAAGCUCUUGAUCGAAGCCCCGGUAAACGGCGGCCGUAACUAUAACGGUCCUAAGGUAGCGAAAUUCCUUGUCGGGUAAGUUCCGACCUGCACGAAUGGCGUAAUGAUGGCCAGGCUGUCUCCACCCGAGACUCAGUGAAAUUGAACUCGCUGUGAAGAUGCAGUGUACCCGCGGCAAGACGGAAAGACCCCGUGAACCUUUACUAUAGCUUGACACUGAACAUUGAGCCUUGAUGUGUAGGAUAGGUGGGAGGCUUUGAAGUGUGGACGCCAGUCUGCAUGGAGCCGACCUUGAAAUACCACCCUUUAAUGUUUGAUGUUCUAACGUGGACCCGUGAUCCGGGUUGCGGACAGUGUCUGGUGGGUAGUUUGACUGGGGCGGUCUCCUCCUAAAGAGUAACGGAGGAGCACGAAGGUUGGCUAAUCCUGGUCGGACAUCAGGAGGUUAGUGCAAUGGCAUAAGCCAGCUUGACUGCGAGCGUGACGGCGCGAGCAGGUGCGAAAGCAGGUCAUAGUGAUCCGGUGGUUCUGAAUGGAAGGGCCAUCGCUCAACGGAUAAAAGGUACUCCGGGGAUAACAGGCUGAUACCGCCCAAGAGUUCAUAUCGACGGCGGUGUUUGGCACCUCGAUGUCGGCUCAUCACAUCCUGGGGCUGAAGUAGGUCCCAAGGGUAUGGCUGUUCGCCAUUUAAAGUGGUACGCGAGCUGGGUUUAGAACGUCGUGAGACAGUUCGGUCCCUAUCUGCCGUGGGCGCUGGAGAACUGAGGGGGGCUGCUCCUAGUACGAGAGGACCGGAGUGGACGCAUCACUGGUGUUCGGGUUGUCAUGCCAAUGGCACUGCCCGGUAGCUAAAUGCGGAAGAGAUAAGUGCUGAAAGCAUCUAAGCACGAAACUUGCCCCGAGAUGAGUUCUCCCUGACCCUUUAAGGGUCCUGAAGGAACGUUGAAGACGACGACGUUGAUAGGCCGGGUGUGUAAGCGCAGCGAUGCGUUGAGCUAACCGGUACUAAUGAACCGUGAGGCUUAACCUU